This is a long non-coding RNA of Bufo bufo (common toad), 152 nucleotides long. RefSeq lists it as uncharacterized. NCBI's taxonomy places the organism in Eukaryota, Metazoa, Chordata, Amphibia, Anura, Bufonidae. The record is from RefSeq and is a predicted model, not a curated record. The transcript is spliced from 3 exons.
CCUUGCGCGAUCUAGCGUAGGACAAGGGAGCGCAUCGGAGCAUGAGAUGCUCUGAUGCUAACAUUAGGGGGGCUGCCUGGGUGAAAAUAUGGGUAUGUCCAGGUUCAACUCUGAACCCGGACAACCCCUUUAAUAACAUAUAAGUGGCAGAU